Molecule: transfer RNA, 79 nt
Organism: Ipomoea nil (Japanese morning glory)
Lineage: Eukaryota; Viridiplantae; Streptophyta; Magnoliopsida; Solanales; Convolvulaceae
Rfam family: tRNA
About the family: Transfer RNA (tRNA) molecules are approximately 80 nucleotides in length. Their secondary structure includes four short double-helical elements and three loops (D, anti-codon, and T loops). Further hydrogen bonds mediate the characteristic L-shaped molecular structure. tRNAs have two regions of fundamental functional importance: the anti-codon, which is responsible for specific mRNA codon recognition, and the 3' end, to which the tRNAs corresponding amino acid is attached (by aminoacyl-tRNA synthetases). tRNAs cope with the degeneracy of the genetic code in two manners: having more than one tRNA (with a specific anti-codon) for a particular amino acid; and 'wobble' base-pairing, i.e. permitting non-standard base-pairing at the 3rd anti-codon position.
Source: Rfam
GACGGUUUGGCGAGUGGUCUAAGACGCCAGAUUUAGGCUCUGGUUCGAAAGGGUGUGGGUUCAAAUCCCACAGCCGUCA